RNAcentral lists this ribosomal RNA (460 nucleotides) under uncultured bacterium. Its description in RNAcentral is "partial 16S ribosomal RNA". It matches the Rfam family "Bacterial small subunit ribosomal RNA", at positions 338 to 795 of the family's 1533-position model. The record is from RNAcentral.
CCUACGGGAGGCAGCAGUGAGGAAUAUUGGUCAAUGGACGCAAGUCUGAACCAGCCAUGCCGCGUGCAGGAAGACGGCUCUAUGAGUUGUAAACUGCUUUUGUACGAGGGUAAAUCCCGAUACGUGUAUCGGGUUGAAAGUAUCGUACGAAUAAGGAUCGGCUAACUCCGUGCCAGCAGCCGCGGUAAUACGGAGGAUUCAAGCGUUAUCCGGAUGUAUUGGGUGUAAAGGGUGCGUAGGCGGUUCGAUAAGGUAGAGGUGAAAUCCCGGGGCUCAACUCCGGCACUGCCUCCGAUACUGUCGUGAUAGAGUUUAGUUGCGGUAGGCGGAAUGUAUGGUGUAGCGGGGAAAUGCAUAGAGAUCAUACAGAACACCGAUUGCGAAGGCAGCUUACCAAACUACGACUGACGUUGAGGCACGAAAGCGUGGGGAGCAAACAGGAUUAGAUACCCCUGUAGUC